AGGGGAGGGUCAUUGGAAACUGGGGAACUUGAGUGCCCAUGAAGAGAGCGGAAUUCCACGUGUAGCGGUGAAAUGCAUAUAGAUGUGGAGAGAACACCAGUGGCGAAGGCUUCUUUUUGGUCUGUAACUGACGCUGAGAGCGCGAAAGCGUGGGGAGCAAAAAGGAUAAUAUACCCUGUGAUUCCCCGCCGUAAACAAUGAGUGCUAAGUGUUAUAGGGUUUCCCCCCUUUAGUGCUGCAGCUAACGCAUUAUGCACUCCGCGUGGGGAGUGCGGUCGCAAGACUGAAACU
This 291-nucleotide ribosomal RNA is filed under the name Priestia flexa. Its description in RNAcentral is "Bacillus flexus partial 16S ribosomal RNA". It matches the Rfam family "Bacterial small subunit ribosomal RNA", at positions 614 to 901 of the family's 1533-position model. The record is from RNAcentral. Lineage: Bacteria; Bacillati; Bacillota; Bacilli; Caryophanales; Bacillaceae.